CCUACGGGAGGCUGCAGUGGGGAAUAUUGGACAAUGGGCGAAAGCCUGAUCCAGCCAUGCCGCGUGUGUGAAGAAGGCCUUCGGGUUGUAAAGCACUUUCAGUGGGGAAGAAAGCCUUGGGGCUAAUACCCUCGAGGAAGGACAUCACCCACAGAAGAAGCACCGGCUAACUCCGUGCCAGCAGCCGCGGUAAUACGGAGGGUGCGAGCGUUAAUCGGAAUUACUGGGCGUAAAGCGCGCGUAGGCGGUCUGAUAAGCCGGUUGUGAAAGCCCCGGGCUCAACCUGGGAACGGCAUCCGGAACUGUCAGGCUAGAGUGCAGGAGAGGAAGGUAGAAUUCCCGGUGUAGCGGUGAAAUGCGUAGAGAUCGGGAGGAAUACCAGUGGCGAAGGCGACCUUCUGGACUGACACUGACGCUGAGGUGCGAAAGCGUGGGUAGCAAACAGGAUUAGAUACCCCGGUAGUC
Molecule: ribosomal RNA, 465 nt
Filed under: Vreelandella stevensii
Lineage: Bacteria; Pseudomonadati; Pseudomonadota; Gammaproteobacteria; Oceanospirillales; Halomonadaceae
Description: partial 16S ribosomal RNA
Rfam family: Bacterial small subunit ribosomal RNA
Source: RNAcentral